Molecule: long non-coding RNA, 476 nt
Organism: Passer montanus (Eurasian tree sparrow)
Lineage: Eukaryota; Metazoa; Chordata; Aves; Passeriformes; Passeridae
Exons: 2
Source: RefSeq, a predicted model, not a curated record
CACAACUUGAAGCCAUUUCCUCUCAUCCUGUCUCUUGUUACCUGGGAGAAGAGGCAAACUGCACCUGGCUACAGCCUCCUGUCUGGCAGUUGUAGGGAGUGAUAAAGUCCCCAUGGAACCUCUGCUCCAGGGUUGGCAAGAAAAGUGCUGAAAUCCCUAACAUGACCAGCAUUAAAAACAAAUAAAUCACUAGAAAACUCUAGUUGAAACUGGACUUGAAACUUCAUUGAAACUGCACAUGUAUUGGUCAGAGGAAUAGCGGGUGAUGCAGGGGGCCUCUGCUGUUCCUUGCUUCUGUAAUUAGUGAUCUGCACUGAUCUCUGAGAUCGGUGACUCACUGGUAGUUCUCCUGCUCUUUCCAGAGUCACCAGGCCCUGCUGGUUACUGACACCCUCUGUGCCUCUAAUUUGAUGCUUUAAAGCAUAAUGAUUGCCUUCACCUUGUGGGCCCAUUCACUAAGGAAAAAAAAAAAAAAA